UUAAUAUUAUUAUAUUAUUUGAGAUAGUAGGUUAUUAAUUAAAAUAAUUUUAAGUAGAAUUUUAGUAUAGUUUAUAGAAUUUAUAAAGUAAAUGAUAGAGUAGUAGUACUGUGGAGGAAAUAUGAAAUAGGUGAAAUAGAUAUUGGGAGAAAAGAAGAACAUAGUUUGUACCUUGGGUAUCAGGGUUUAUUAAUUAAUGAUAAUGAUUUAUGAUUCCCGAAUUAAAAAGAGCUAAGGUAAUAUAGUAGUUAAUGUAUUAUUAUUAUUAGAGAUAUUAUCUUGGGAGUGAAAUGUUAGGCGUUUUUUAAGUUAUCUGGUUUUCUAAGAAAUGAAUUUAAUUCAUGUUAUUGGGAGUAAGUGUUUAAUUUUAUUAAUAACUUAUUUUUUGGUAACGAAGAUAUAAAGGGAUAAGCUUUUAUGUGGAUACUAAAAAUUAUGGAGGUUUGUAAGAGUAGUAGGCUUUAAAUUAGCUAUCAAUGGAAUAAUGUUAUAAGUUGUUUUGUGAUGAGAUUAUUUUUAAUAAUUUUAGUUUGUUUAUUGGAAUGUUAUAGAGAAUAGAUUUAUAUGAGUAAUAAUGGUAAAAUGAGUAUAUGAAAUUGUUUAUUUUAAAUUUAAUGGUAAUUUACAGUAAGGAACUAGGCAAAGUAUCACUCGCCUGUUUAUCAAAAACAUCUCCUUUUGUUUUUAUACAAGGUAGGACCUGCCCACUGAAAGGUAUUUGAAGGGCCGCGGUAUUAUGACCGUGCAAAGGUAGCAUAAUCAUUAGUCUUUUAAUUGAAGGCUGGAAUGAAUGGUUUGACGAGGUGAUGACUGUCUCAGUGUAAUAAGUAGAAGUUAACUUUUAAGUUAAAAGGCUUAAAUUUUAGUGAAGGACGAGAAGACCCUAUAGAGCUUUAUACAUAAGUUCAAGUUUAUAUUUAGAGGUUUAUAAAAAUUUGGAUUGGAGUGUAUUAUGUUGGGGUGACAUAAAGAUAGAAUUAACUCUUUAUUUUUGGAACAUUGAUAUAUGGAUUAUUGAUCCAUUUUUAGUGAUCAUGAGAUUAAGUUACCUUAGGGAUAACAGCGUAAUUUUUCUUGAGAGUUCAUAUCAACAGAGAAGAUUGCGACCUCGAUGUUGGAUUAAGGAAUAUAAUUAGAUGCAGCAGUUUAAUUAAUAGGUCUGUUCGACCUUUAAAUCCUUACAUGAUCUGAGUUCAGACCGGUGUAAGCCAGGUCGGUUUCUAUCCUUAUUAAGUUUUUAUAUUUUAGUACGAAAGGACCAAGUAUUUUAAAUAUUUUAUGGUAUUUGAUUAUUAGUA
Molecule: ribosomal RNA, 1298 nt
Filed under: Poecilimon pulcher
Lineage: Eukaryota; Metazoa; Arthropoda; Insecta; Orthoptera; Tettigoniidae
Description: 16S ribosomal RNA
Rfam family: Bacterial large subunit ribosomal RNA (bases 842-1234)
Source: RNAcentral